Molecule: ribosomal RNA, 572 nt
Filed under: uncultured bacterium
Lineage: Bacteria
Description: partial 16S ribosomal RNA
Rfam family: Bacterial small subunit ribosomal RNA
Source: RNAcentral
UGGGGAAUUUUGGACAAUGGGCGCAAGCCUGAUCCAGCCAUGCCGCGUGCGGGAAGAAGGCCUUCGGGUUGUAAACCGCUUUUGUCAGGGAAGAAAUCUUCUGAGUUAAUACCUCGGGAGGAUGACGGUACCUGAAGAAUAAGCACCGGCUAACUACGUGCCAGCAGCCGCGGUAAUACGUAGGGUGCAAGCGUUAAUCGGAAUUACUGGGCGUAAAGCGUGCGCAGGCGGUUUUGUAAGACAGAGGUGAAAUCCCCGGGCUCAACCUGGGAACUGCCUUUGUGACUGCAAGGCUUGAGUGCGGCAGAGGGGGGAUGGAAUUCCGCGUGUAGCAGUGAAAUGCGUAGAUAUGCGGAGGAACACCGAUGGCGAAGGCAAUCCCCUGGGCCUGCACUGACGCUCAUGCACGAAAGCGUGGGGAGCAAACAGGAUUAGAUACCCUGGUAGUCCACGCCCUAAACGAUGUCAACUGGUUGUUGGGAAGGUUCCUUCUCAGUAACGUAGCUAACGCGUGAAGUUGACCGCCUGGGGAGUACGGCCGCAAGGUUGAAACUCAAAUGAAUUGACGGGGG